GAGGAAAGUCCGGGCUCCACAGGGCAGGGUGGUUGCUAACGGCAACCCGGGGUGACCCGCGGGACAGUGCCACAGAAAACAGACCGCCCGGCCACCGGCCGGGUAAGGGUGAAACGGUGGUGUAAGAGACCACCAGCGCCUCGGGUGACCGGGGCGGCUCGGUAAACCCCACCCGGAGCAAGGCCAAGAGGGAGCCGUGAGGUUCCUGCGCAGGCGUUCGAGGGCUGCCCGCCCGAUGCCUGCGGGUAGGCCGCUUGAGCCUGCCGGCGACGGCAGGCCCAGAUGGAUGGUCGCCCAUCGUCCGCCGCGAGGCGGACGUGGACAGAACCCGGCGUAG
RNAcentral lists this RNase P RNA (337 nucleotides) under Saccharomonospora sp. RNAcentral describes it as "partial ribonuclease P RNA". It matches the Rfam family "Bacterial RNase P class A", at positions 43 to 351 of the family's 367-position model. Rfam says of the family: Ribonuclease P (RNase P) is a ubiquitous endoribonuclease, found in archaea, bacteria and eukarya as well as chloroplasts and mitochondria. Its best characterised activity is the generation of mature 5'-ends of tRNAs by cleaving the 5'-leader elements of precursor-tRNAs. Cellular RNase Ps are ribonucleoproteins. The record is from RNAcentral. Lineage: Bacteria; Bacillati; Actinomycetota; Actinomycetes; Pseudonocardiales; Pseudonocardiaceae.